Molecule: ribosomal RNA, 500 nt
Filed under: Vibrio harveyi
Lineage: Bacteria; Pseudomonadati; Pseudomonadota; Gammaproteobacteria; Vibrionales; Vibrionaceae
Description: bacterial SSU rRNA
Rfam family: Bacterial small subunit ribosomal RNA
Source: RNAcentral
GGGUGAGUAAUGCCUAGGAAAUUGCCCUGGUGUGGGGGAUAACCAUUGGAAACGAUGGCUAAUACCGCAUAAUACCUUCGGGUCAAAGAGGGGGACCUUCGGGCCUCUCGCGUCAGGAUAUGCCUAGGUGGGAUUAGCUAGUUGGUGAGGUAAUGGCUCACCAAGGCGACGAUCCCUAGCUGGUCUGAGAGGAUGAUCAGCCACACUGGAACUGAGACACGGUCCAGACUCCUACGGGAGGCAGCAGUGGGGAAUAUUGCACAAUGGGCGCAAGCCUGAUGCAGCCAUGCCGCGUGUGUGAAGAAGGCCUUCGGGUUGUAAAGCACUUUCAGUCGUGAGGAAGGUGGUGUAGUUAAUAGCUGCAUUAUUUGACGUUAGCGACAGAAGAAGCACCGGCUAACUCCGUGCCAGCAGCCGCGGUAAUACGGAGGGUGCGAGCGUUAAUCGGAAUUACUGGGCGUAAAGCGCAUGCAGGUGGUUUGUUAAGUCAGAUGUGAAAG